RNAcentral lists this long non-coding RNA (666 nucleotides) under Homo sapiens (human). Its description in RNAcentral is "non-protein coding LINC00710:5". The record is from RNAcentral. Lineage: Eukaryota; Metazoa; Chordata; Mammalia; Primates; Hominidae.
GCCAUUUUCUGACAUUUGAAAAGAUCUGAAGAUACGCCCCUUGGAUGCCUGCAGAGAAGCUCUGGGGCUUCAGUCAAUGACUCAGGGUAGCCACCGAACAUGAUGCUCGGGCAGUGGGUGCCACCUGGACUCCACUCUCCCCUCUCUCUGGGAUCAUAGAGUCCAAGGUGUUCUGUGGCCUCUCGGCCAAUCCCAGCAGCUCAGCGUGCAGAAGACCGAGGAGCCAUUGGUCAGUGUAGGAGGUGCCUGGAGUUUUGGAGAUGGGAUCCACAGGAAUUCAACACAACACGAAAUAAUCAACAAAUUCGGGGAAUGUUAAUCUGACCAUCACCAGUUACAAAUGAUGUUUCAUGCUACCUUCUAUUCCUGCCUUCAUAAAUCAAGGUAAUUACUUGGCAAUCUGGCUAUGCCUUGUAAGGCAAAAGAGCUGUUCAUUUCUUGUGUCAAAUGGUGAACAGGGAGGGAGAGUAAAAUGGUAAAUAACCCUGCCUCCCAUCUGUGCCCAAUCAGCUCUAAAUCUCCAGGAAAAAAUGUGCUCAGGAUGGCCAGAGAAAUGUCCUUCCAACUGUGCAUGGAAAGGUAUGAUUUUGUGCAGCAGGUGAAGGACUGGUUAGAGUAAGUGUGUGCUGAGCUUUUGUGUUUGAAAGCGAGCCUGUGCACUUCUAA